Molecule: ribosomal RNA, 377 nt
Filed under: uncultured bacterium
Lineage: Bacteria
Description: bacterial SSU rRNA
Rfam family: Bacterial small subunit ribosomal RNA
Source: RNAcentral
UAAUACGGAGGGUGCAAGCGUUAAUCGGAAUUACUGGGCGUAAAGGGCGCGUAGGUGGUUUACUAAGUUAGUUGUGAAAUUCCUGGGCUUAACCUGGGGUGGUCAGCUGAUACUGGUAGACUGGAGUACGAGAGAGGGUAGUGGAAUUUCCGGUGUAGCGGUGAAAUGCGUAGAUAUCGGAAGGAACACCAGUGGCGAAGGCGACUACCUGGUUCGAUACUGACACUGAGGCGCGAAAGCGUGGGGAGCAAACAGGAUUAGAUACCCUGGUAGUCCACGCUGUAAACGAUGUCAACUAGCUGUUUGUUCAUGCAAAUGAAUAAGUGGCGCAGCUAACGCGAUAAGUUGACCGCCUGGGGAGUACGGUCGCAAGAUUA